Musa acuminata subsp. malaccensis (wild Malaysian banana) is the source of this 105-nucleotide non-coding RNA. The record is from Rfam. NCBI's taxonomy places the organism in Eukaryota, Viridiplantae, Streptophyta, Magnoliopsida, Zingiberales, Musaceae.
GGUUGGGCUGUGAUGAUGCUAUUUUUGUGGACUAGAGUUUCUGAUUCGUGGCCAUUCAUUUGCGCCAGUAUUUGAAGACUAACCCUUGGCUGUCUGAGCUCAACC